UACGUAGGGGGCAAGCGUUGUCCGGAAUCAUUGGGCGUAAAGCGCGCGUAGGCGGCCCUGUAAGUCCGCUGUAAAAGUCAAAGGCUCAACCUUUGAAAGCCGGUGGAUACUGCAGGGCUAGAGUCCGGAAGAGGCGAGUGGAAUUCCUGGUGUAGCGGUGGAAUGCGCAGAUAUCAGGAGGAACACCGGUGGCGAAGGCGCACAUCUGGCCCGAUACUGACGCUGAGGCGCGAAAGCUAGGGGAGCAAACGGG
Molecule: ribosomal RNA, 253 nt
Filed under: uncultured bacterium
Lineage: Bacteria
Description: partial 16S ribosomal RNA
Rfam family: Bacterial small subunit ribosomal RNA
Source: RNAcentral